Non-coding RNA from Danio rerio (zebrafish), 475 nucleotides. The record is from Ensembl. Lineage: Eukaryota; Metazoa; Chordata; Actinopteri; Cypriniformes; Danionidae.
UUUAAUAAACCAAGAUAUGUCACAAUAUUAAAGGUUUCUGUUUCUCAUCUCUUUUUCCUGGAUCUGAUGUCAUAAACUAGAAAAGCUGCAACAGCCACGCCCACGAGAGCAGAGCCGACCAAUCGGAUCACAGCUUCUGUCGGACCACAGCAGUGACCAGAGCCUGAGGACCAGAAACAUCAAACUGAGCUCAAAUCAGGAGUUGAUAAACUCCAGCAUGUUCAGUUGUGAUGUUCGUGAUGGUCAGAGAUGCAGUUUGAUCCACCUUCAGUCUGUUUCUGAAUCUCCCAUCAAGAACAUCUUCAUAUAUGGUGAUUCUGUUGUCCAUUACAUUGAUUUUAGUUAUUAAAGUGUUUUCAGCUCCAAACCUCCACUUAAUCAGUUCAUCCUCCAGCAGUUCAGUUAACCCAGUGUGUAAAGUCACUGAAUCUCCCUCCAACACUAACACUGACUCUCCCAACACACCUGAAAAACA